GACGAACGCUGGCGGCGUGCCUAACACAUGCAAGUUGAGCGACGAACCAGGGCUUGCCCUGGGGCAAAGCAGCGAACGGGUGAGUAACACGUGGGUAACCUACCCCGAUAACCGGGACAACCCGAGGAAACUCGGGCUAAUACCGGAUGUGCUCACUGGACUUCGGUUCAGUGCGUAAAGGAAGCUUCGGCCUCCGUAUCGGGAGGGGCCCGCGGCCCAUUAGUUUGUUGGUGAGGUAACGGCUCACCAAGACCGCGAUGGGUAGCUGGUCUGAGAGGACGAUCAGCCACACUGGGACUGAGACACGGCCCAGACUCCUACGGGAGGCAGCAGUGGGGAAUCUUGCGCAAUGCGCGAAAGCGUGACGCAGCAACGCCGCGUGGGGGAAGAAGGCCUUCGUGUUGUAAACCCCUUUCAGGAGGGACGAAGGUUCGGCGGUGAAUAGCCGUCCGGACUGACGGUACCUCCACAAGAAGCCCCGGCUAACUACGUG
This 493-nucleotide ribosomal RNA is filed under the name uncultured bacterium. RNAcentral's name for it is "partial 16S ribosomal RNA". It matches the Rfam family "Bacterial small subunit ribosomal RNA", at positions 28 to 507 of the family's 1533-position model. The record is from RNAcentral.